GGAAGGAAUCCGUGCUGCGGAAAAUCAGAUACUUUCAACAGCAGAGUCGACAUUACCCAGAUUCACUUUGGACGUGUGAAGGAGGCAGCAACCACGUGGAACUCAUGUCUCGAACACAGUGAGGUCUUCACACCUCAGCGCUGGGCAUCAAGAGGCAGCCUUCACGUGAUGCUGCCCUACGAGGCCAGCAAGGGCUCACGGGAAAUGAAAACCACAGCAGCCGGCACCCAGUCCCAGCAGCAGACAGGAGUAGGUUAAUCCACACCAUGGACACUGUCUAUGCAAAGCGGAUAUUUGGUCCCAGACAGCUCAACCCUGGGCUAUUACCCAUCCUUAAAGCUGACACUGGCAUAGCACAUGGGUAUGUAACACUUAACGUUUGCUGCAACCCUUCAGGAAGGAUGUCCUGAAAAGCUGCACACCCCCCGGCGUCAGCCUUCUGACAUCGCAUGAGGAGGGGCUAAACGACAUUUGGAGACCAUGUGUGCUGAUGUGGUUUGGAUGUGUGUCCCUCCAAAACGUAUGUGAAAUGUGAUCCCCAGUGUUGGAGGGGAGGCCUGGUGGGAGGUACUGGAUCACAGAAGUGAAUCAAUCAUGAACGGUUCAGCACCAACCCCUUGGUAUGAGUUAGUUCUCACUCAGUCAGUUCACCUGAGCUCUGGGUGUUUAAACGUCUGGGAACCCCCUCCUCUCCUGCUCCCACUCUUGCCAUGUGAUGUGUUGGCCCCCUUCACCCACCACCACAAUUGGAAGCUUCCUGAGGCCUCACCAGAAGCAGAUGCCAGCACCAUACUUCCUGUAGAGCCUGCAGAACUGUGAGCCAAUUUAACCUCUUUUCCUUAUAAAUUAUGCAGCCUCAGGUAUUUCUUUACAGCAAUGCAAUAACAGACUCAUGCAUGGAUCAUCAAGAAGGUGGAUUUCCAUGUUU
This 928-nucleotide long non-coding RNA is filed under the name Pongo abelii (Sumatran orangutan). Its description in RNAcentral is "lincRNA". Lineage: Eukaryota; Metazoa; Chordata; Mammalia; Primates; Hominidae. The record is from RNAcentral.